Molecule: transfer RNA, 67 nt
Filed under: Myospalax psilurus
Lineage: Eukaryota; Metazoa; Chordata; Mammalia; Rodentia; Spalacidae
Description: tRNA-Thr
Rfam family: tRNA
About the family: Transfer RNA (tRNA) molecules are approximately 80 nucleotides in length. Their secondary structure includes four short double-helical elements and three loops (D, anti-codon, and T loops).
Source: RNAcentral
GCUUAGGUAGUAUACCCAUUACCUUGGUCUUGUAAACCAAAAACGGAGAAUCAAUCUCCCCAAAGCA